GCCUGGGUGGCUCAGUCAGUUGAGCAUCCGACUUCGGCUCAGGUGAUUAUCUCCCAGUUCGUGGGUUCGAGCCCCACGUCGGGCU
RNAcentral lists this transfer RNA (85 nucleotides) under Felis catus (domestic cat). It matches the Rfam family "tRNA". Rfam says of the family: Transfer RNA (tRNA) molecules are approximately 80 nucleotides in length. Their secondary structure includes four short double-helical elements and three loops (D, anti-codon, and T loops). The record is from Rfam by way of RNAcentral. Lineage: Eukaryota; Metazoa; Chordata; Mammalia; Carnivora; Felidae.